AGGCCUAACACAUGCAAGUCGAGCGAGAUCUUCGGAUCUAGCGGCGGACGGGUGAGUAACGCGUGGGAACGUGCCCUUCACUGCGGAAUAGUCCCGGGAAACUGGGUUUAAUACCGCAUACGCCCUUCGGGGGAAAGAUUUAUCGGUGAAGGAUCGGCCCGCGUUGGAUUAGGUAGUUGGUGGGGUAAAAGCCUACCAAGCCGACGAUCCAUAGCUGGUUUGAGAGGAUGAUCAGCCACACUGGGACUGAGACACGGCCCAGACUCCUACGGGAGGCAGCAGUGGGGAAUCUUAGACAAUGGGCGCAAGCCUGAUCUAGC
RNAcentral lists this ribosomal RNA (320 nucleotides) under marine bacterium SIMO IS-S36-116. RNAcentral's name for it is "bacterial SSU rRNA". It matches the Rfam family "Bacterial small subunit ribosomal RNA", at positions 46 to 392 of the family's 1533-position model. Lineage: Bacteria; Pseudomonadati; Pseudomonadota; Alphaproteobacteria; Rhodobacterales; Paracoccaceae. RNAcentral also lists the same sequence under 1 other name. The record is from RNAcentral.